Long non-coding RNA from Zingiber officinale, 982 nucleotides. RefSeq lists it as uncharacterized. NCBI's taxonomy places the organism in Eukaryota, Viridiplantae, Streptophyta, Magnoliopsida, Zingiberales, Zingiberaceae. The transcript has 3 exons. The record is from RefSeq and is a predicted model, not a curated record.
AUACCUAUUAAGUGGGAGUUAAUUGAGGAAUUAACAUAAGGUUUAAUUAAUCUAAACCUAAGUGCAAUUAUAAAACCUAUUAUUUCCCUUCUCUUUUCAUCCGCCCGAACCCUUCCUCCCUCUCCUCUCAUCGCGCCGCACACCUUCGCCCUCCUCUGCGCGCCAUCGGCCGACCAAGCCAGUGCUGGUCCUCAUUUCCGACGAGCCACAGCCGUAGAGCCACCAGUGCCUAUUCCCCUCUUAUUUGCACCGACGCUCCUCUUCUCCAUCGCGACACCGCGCGGUCCGACGACGCCGCCCCCACCGCGCCACCUGAUGGCCGACGUCAACCUCCACCUCACGAGCAUCGUCGGCCGGUUGAGAACGGGCCCAAGCAUCAGCACUGAUCUAUCAUCGUCUCCUUCGUGUUGUGCCCUAGUCGCCGUGCUCUAGUGCCGUUGAUACCAUCUCCACCCGACGCCGGCCUUUUUCCUCUCCUGAUCCAUCGUCGCCGGUACUUAAGGGCCACUCGACGUCGUCACCUCUUCAUGUGAGGUCAGAUCGAACACCACAACCACUGCAAACCCCUCAUCUAUAGCAUCACCAAAGGUUCUCUUCGGAUUACUGCUCUGCACGAGUUAUUCUUCGGCCAAAGGGAGGGUCCGAGACCUAGAUUUGGCCAAGGUUGUGGUGAUUAGCUUUCUGAUGGUUGCCUCUUCAGUCCGUGCCCUGAAAAUCGAGCGACUGCCGAUGAGCCUUUUUCUGUCGACCUCAACAGCCCCUUGCGGUGACUUUGCUUGGGAAAGGAACUACCGACACAUAGUGGCCCUUGCAAUGUUGGCAACUGAAUUCCAGUGGUAGAGAUCCGACAACCAUCCUUCUUGGUAGAGCUCCGACAGCUAUGGUGUAUUGGGUUAAACAAGGACUUUGAUUCGAGACGAGCGUCUCGAUGUGGGAGUUACGAUGUGGGAGUUACAUUGGCAUGAUCUACAUUUAAGGCGGG